Molecule: ribosomal RNA, 229 nt
Filed under: uncultured bacterium
Lineage: Bacteria
Description: partial 16S ribosomal RNA
Rfam family: Bacterial small subunit ribosomal RNA
Source: RNAcentral
CGGGUGAGUAAUGUAUGGGGAUCUGCCUGAUGGCGGGGGAUAACUACUGGAAACGGUAGCUAAUACCGCAUAAUGUCUGCGGACCAAAGCGGGGGGACCUCCGGGCCUCGCGCCAUCAGAUGAACCCAUAUGGGAUUAGCUUGUAGGUAAGGUAACGGCUUACCUAGGCGACGAUCCCUAGCUGGUCUGAGAGGAUGAUCAGCCACACUGGGACUGAGACACGGCCCAG